CCGCAGCCCGAGUGGUGGUCACUAUUAUUGAGCCUAAAGCGUCCGUAGCCUGGUGGAUAAAUCCUUGGGAAAAUCGAGCGGCUCAACCGUUCGAAGUCCGGGGAGACUGUCCAUCUUGAAACCGGGAGAGGUCAGAGGUACUUUGGGGGUAGGGGUAAUAUCCUGUAAUCCUCAAAGGACCACCAGUGGCGAAGGCGUCUGACUUGAACGGAUUUGACGGUGAGGGACGAAGCCCAGGGGCGCAAACGGGAUUAGAUACCCGAGUAGUCC
RNAcentral lists this ribosomal RNA (270 nucleotides) under uncultured archaeon. RNAcentral describes it as "partial 16S ribosomal RNA". It matches the Rfam family "Archaeal small subunit ribosomal RNA", at positions 477 to 747 of the family's 1478-position model. The record is from RNAcentral.